RNAcentral lists this ribosomal RNA (253 nucleotides) under uncultured bacterium. Its description in RNAcentral is "partial 16S ribosomal RNA". It matches the Rfam family "Bacterial small subunit ribosomal RNA", at positions 524 to 776 of the family's 1533-position model. The record is from RNAcentral.
UACGAAGGGGGCUAGCGUUGCUCGGAAUCACUGGGCGUAAAGGGUGCGUAGGCGGGUCUUUAAGUCAGGGGUGAAAUCCUGGAGCUCAACUCCAGAACUGCCUUUGAUACUGAGGAUCUUGAGUUCGGGAGAGGUGAGUGGAACUGCGAGUGUAGAGGUGAAAUUCGUAGAUAUUCGCAAGAACACCAGUGGCGAAGGCGGCUCACUGGCCCGAUACUGACGCUGAGGCACGAAAGCGUGGGGAUCAAACAGG